UACGGAGGGGACUAGCGUUGUUCGGAAUUACUGGGCGUAAAGCGCGCGUAGGCGGAUUAGUCAGUCAGAGGUGAAAUCCCAGGGCUCAACCCUGGAACUGCCUUUGAUACUGCUAGUCUUGAGUUCGAGAGAGGUGAGUGGAAUUCCGAGUGUAGAGGUGAAAUUCGUAGAUAUUCGGAGGAACACCAGUGGCGAAGGCGGCUCACUGGCUCGAUACUGACGCUGAUGUGUGAAGGCGUUGUGAGCUAACAGG
Molecule: unclassified non-coding RNA, 253 nt
Filed under: uncultured Rhodobacterales bacterium
Lineage: Bacteria; Pseudomonadati; Pseudomonadota; Alphaproteobacteria; Rhodobacterales
Description: contains 16S-23S intergenic spacer region
Rfam family: Bacterial small subunit ribosomal RNA
Source: RNAcentral